This 254-nucleotide ribosomal RNA is filed under the name uncultured bacterium. Its description in RNAcentral is "partial 16S ribosomal RNA". It matches the Rfam family "Bacterial small subunit ribosomal RNA", at positions 524 to 776 of the family's 1533-position model. The record is from RNAcentral.
UACGGGGGGGGGCAAGCGUUGUUCGGAAUUACUGGGCGUAAAGGGCUCGUAGGCGGCCAACUAAGUCAUACGUGAAAUCCCUCGGCUUAACCGGGGAACUGCGUCUGAUACUGGAUGGCUUGAGUUCGGGAGAGGGAUGCGGAAUUCCAGGUGUAGCGGUGAAAUGCGUAGAUAUCUGGAGGAACACCGGUGGCGAAGGCGGCAUCCUGGACCGAUACUGACGCUGAGACGCGAAAGCGUGGGGAGCAAACAGG